GACGAACGCUGGCGGCGUGCCUAAUACAUGCAAGUAGAACGCUGAAGCUUGGUGCUUGCACCGAGCGGAUGAGUUGCGAACGGGUGAGUAACGCGUAGGUAACCUGCCUGGUAGCGGGGGAUAACUAUUGGAAACGAUAGCUAAUACCGCAUAAUAGUAGAUGUUGCAUGACAUUUGCUUAAAAGGUGCAAUUGCAUCACUACCAGAUGGACCUGCGUUGUAUUAGCUAGUUGGUGAGGUAACGGCUCACCAAGGCAACGAUACAUAGCCGACCUGAGAGGGUGAUCGGCCACACUGGGACUGAGACACGGCCCAGACUCCUACGGGAGGCAGCAGUAGGGAAUCUUCGGCAAUGGACGGAAGUCUGACCGAGCAACGCCGCGUGAGUGAAGAAGGUUUUCGGAUCGUAAAGCUCUGUUGUAAGAGAAGAACGAGUGUGAGAGUGGAAAGUUCACACUGUGACGGUAUCUUACAAGAAAGAGACGGCUAACUACGUG
This 497-nucleotide ribosomal RNA is filed under the name uncultured bacterium. RNAcentral describes it as "partial 16S ribosomal RNA". It matches the Rfam family "Bacterial small subunit ribosomal RNA", at positions 28 to 507 of the family's 1533-position model. The record is from RNAcentral.